Molecule: long non-coding RNA, 249 nt
Filed under: Nicotiana benthamiana
Lineage: Eukaryota; Viridiplantae; Streptophyta; Magnoliopsida; Solanales; Solanaceae
Description: long non-coding RNA (NBEN_LNC018922)
Source: RNAcentral
GUUGCACUUGAGAUCUUCUCGAACCCAUCAUCAUCCAAUGCUUGGUAGGUGAGGUAGAGAGCUUUCUUGUCUCUCUUUCUUGAAUCCUUCACACCAUCCUUUGAGUUUGGGAUAAUGUAGAUUCAUCUAGGGGCUCAUUGUAGCAUUUCUCUACAAUAUCCCAAACAUCAUGUGCACCUAGGAGAGCCUUCAUCUUGAUACUCCAAUUAUCAUAGUUGCUCUUGUUGAGCAUAGGAACUUGGAAGNNNN